GAUGAACGCUGGCGGCGUGCCUAACACAUGCAAGUCGAGCGUGAACCCUGCGAAUGAAACUUCGGUCGAUUUUGCAGGGGGGAAAGCGGCGGACGGGUGAGUAACGCGUGGAUAAUCUGCCCUUAAGUGUGGAAUAACGUACCGAAAGGUGCGCUAAUACCGCAUAAUGCCUGGCAACACAAGUUGUCCGGCCAAAGAAGGCCUCUGUUUACAAGCUUUCGCUUCAGGAUGAGUCCGCGUACCAUUAGCUUGUUGGUGGGGUAAUGGCCUACCAAGGCUGCGAUGGUUAGCUGGUCUGAGAGGAUGAUCAGCCAGACUGGGACUGAGAACGGCCCAGACUCCUACGGGAGGCAGCAGUAGGGAAUUUUCCACAAUGGACGAAAGUCUGAUGGAGCAACGCCGCGUGCAGGAUGAAUGCCUUCGGUUGUAACUGUCUUUUAUCUGUGACGAAUAUGACGGUAGCAGAUGAAGUAAGGAUCGGCUAACUACCGUCG
Molecule: ribosomal RNA, 494 nt
Filed under: uncultured bacterium
Lineage: Bacteria
Description: bacterial SSU rRNA
Rfam family: Bacterial small subunit ribosomal RNA
Source: RNAcentral